RNAcentral lists this ribosomal RNA (492 nucleotides) under uncultured bacterium. RNAcentral describes it as "partial 16S ribosomal RNA". It matches the Rfam family "Bacterial small subunit ribosomal RNA", at positions 29 to 507 of the family's 1533-position model. The record is from RNAcentral.
AGUGAACGCUGGCGGCAGGCUUAACACAUGCAAGUCGAACGGGCGCACAGUAAUAGCAGGCUCUUACGGGUGGCGAGCGGCGGAGGGGUGAGGCAUACAUCGGAAUCAACUCUUUCGUGGGGGAUAACGUAGGGAAACUUACGCUAAUACCGAAUACGACAUACGGGUGAAAGCAGGGGAUCUUCGGACCUUGUGGGUUUGAAUGAGCCGAUGUCGGAUUAGCUAGUUGGCGGGCGAAAGGGCCACCAAGGAGGCGAUCAUUAGCGCGUCUGAGCGGAGGAUCAGCCACACUGUAAGUGAGACACGGUCCAGACUCCUGCAGUAGGCAGCGGUCGGGAAUAUUGGACAAGGGGCGCGUGCCUGAUCCAGCCAUACCGCGUGGAUGAAGAAGGCCUUCUGCUUCGUAAGCCCUUUUGUUGUGAAGGAAAUGCAGCAGUUUAGGACCCCGCUGUUCUGACGGUACCCAAAGAAUAAGCACCGGCUAACUUCGUG